AAAACAUAUACUUAAACGCAAAACAUUUCUUAUUUUUUCAUCAAUUUAACAGCCAAAUUCAGAAAUGAUAGAACUAACAGCAGUAGGAGGAUUUUAUGAAUGCCCUUCAGUAUACGGAUUAGUUCAGUAUAUGCAUUAAGUUCCUUCACAUCCACCUGGUUUUGAAUGUCAGAUUCAUUUGGGGUGUUGGCUACUGUCACCC
Molecule: long non-coding RNA, 202 nt
Filed under: Prunus persica (peach)
Lineage: Eukaryota; Viridiplantae; Streptophyta; Magnoliopsida; Rosales; Rosaceae
Description: long non-coding RNA (PPER_LNC004775)
Source: RNAcentral